RNAcentral lists this ribosomal RNA (559 nucleotides) under uncultured bacterium. RNAcentral's name for it is "bacterial SSU rRNA". It matches the Rfam family "Bacterial small subunit ribosomal RNA", at positions 338 to 916 of the family's 1533-position model. The record is from RNAcentral.
CCUACGGUAGGCAGCAGUGAGGAAUUUUCCGCAAUGGGCGAAAGCCUGACGGAGCAAUACCGCGUGAGGGAUGAAGGAUUUUGGUCUGUAAACCUCUUUUCUCAAGAAAGAAGUUCUGACGGUACUUGAGGAAUAAGCAUCGGCUAACUCCGUGCCAGCAGCCGCGGUAAUACGGGGGAUGCAAGCGUUAUCCGGAAUGAUUGGGCGUAAAGCGCCUGUAGGUUGUUUAUUAAGUCCGUUGUUAAAGCCUAGGGCUUAACCCUAGAAAAGCAAUGGAAACUAGUAGACUAGAGUAUGGCAGGGGUAGAGGGAAUUUCUAGUGUAGCGGUGAAAUGCGUAGAUAUUAGAAAGAACACCGGUGGCGAAAGCGCUCUACUGGACCAUUACUGACACUCAGAGGCGAAAGCUAGGGUAGCAAAAGGGAUUAGAUACCCCUGUAGUCCUAGCCGUAAACGAUGGAUACUAGAUGUUGUGCAUUAUGUACAGUAUCGUAGCUAACGCGUUAAGUAUCCCGCCUGGGGAGUACGCUCGCAAGGGUGAAACUUAAAGGAAUUGACGG